AUUUGCCAUUUCUCAUGGUUCUUAUGUUUGGCUGGGCCUUAGCUGGGCUGUUCUGAUGAGCAUGUGGCUUGAACUGGAAAGAUCAAAAUAACCAUGGGCCUCUCUGCAAUGGCUUUGAUAUUUGGCAAGGUGGCUGGAUAUGCAAAGGACUUUCGAGAAGAAAUGUUCCAACCAAAGAAGACAUAAGCUGUGGCUCUGUUAAGGCUUGUACCCCAGAAGCAACACAUUAGUGCUUCCUUCCCAUUCUGUAGGUGGAGACAGAUCAGAGGGCCAACCCCCCAGGAAGUAGAUUCCAUCUCUUCAAGGUGACCCGUGAAGUCAGUCCGGUGGUGCCAUUCAUUCUCCUCAGCUUGUAAAACUAAGACAAGAAGACACGGAUGCGUGGUGACUUGUUCGAGGCUAUAACUGGCCGACGGGUAAUGUGCCGGUCAUAACAAGGUUUAAGGUGGUACAUGUCACACAGCGGCGUGAACACCCAGUCAUCAUGCUUAUCAACCCCAAAAGGAUCUGACGAAACUUUCUUAAGCAAGAAUAACAAAAACAGAGAAGCCACAAAGGAAAAGACAUAUUUAACUACCUUAAAAAAAAAAAAAUUAAGACGGGCAUCUGGGUGGCUCGGUCGACUUCAGCCCAGGUCAUGAUC
This is a long non-coding RNA of Hyaena hyaena (striped hyena), 643 nucleotides long. RefSeq lists it as uncharacterized. The record is from RefSeq and is a predicted model, not a curated record. The transcript has 3 exons. NCBI's taxonomy places the organism in Eukaryota, Metazoa, Chordata, Mammalia, Carnivora, Hyaenidae.